UAGGGAAUCUUCCACAAUGGACGCAAGUCUGAUGGAGCAACGCCGCGUGAGUGAAGAAGGGUUUCGGCUCGUAAGGCUCUGUUGUUAAAGAAGAACGUGGGUAAGAGUAACUGUUUACCCAGUGACGGUAUUUAACCAGAAAGCCACGGCUAACUACGUGCCAA
This 164-nucleotide ribosomal RNA is filed under the name uncultured bacterium. RNAcentral's name for it is "partial 16S rRNA". It matches the Rfam family "Bacterial small subunit ribosomal RNA", at positions 355 to 511 of the family's 1533-position model. The record is from RNAcentral.